GAUGAACGCUGGCGGCGUGCCUAAUACAUGCAAGUCGAGCGAACAGACGAGGAGCUUGCUCCUCUGACGUUAGCGGCGGACGGGUGAGUAACACGUGGAUAACCUACCUAUAAGACUGGGAUAACUUCGGGAAACCGGAGCUAAUACCGGAUAAUAUAUUGAACCGCAUGGUUCAAUAGUGAAAGACGGUUUUGCUGUCACUUAUAGAUGGAUCCGCGCCGCAUUAGCUAGUUGGUAAGGUAACGGCUUACCAAGGCAACGAUGCGUAGCCGACCUGAGAGGGUGAUCGGCGACACUGGAACGGGGACACGGUCCAGACUCCUACGGGAGGCAGCAGUAGGGAAUCUUCCGCAAUGGGCGAGAGCCUGACGGAGCAACGCCGCGUGAGUGAUGAAGGUCUUCGGAUCGUAAAACUCUGUUAUUAGGGAAGAACAAAUGUGUAAGUAACUAUGCACGUCUUGACGGUACCUAAUCAGAAAGCCACGGCUAACUACGUG
This 497-nucleotide ribosomal RNA is filed under the name uncultured bacterium. Its description in RNAcentral is "partial 16S ribosomal RNA". It matches the Rfam family "Bacterial small subunit ribosomal RNA", at positions 28 to 507 of the family's 1533-position model. The record is from RNAcentral.